ACUCACUACAAUAUUGUUUUGGUGAACAAUCUUUUAGGUUCUAAUUAGCAAGGCAGUGAGGUGAUUGGCAUCAAUCCAAUUUCAUAUGUUUAAUUCAAUCACUUAGUGAAUUAAAACUUCAUUUUAAUUCACCUUUCUUAUUUGAUGACUACAUUUAAUCAUCUAGAAGAACUCACAAGCUAUGAGUGACAUCUAACCAUAUGUCAUAG
RNAcentral lists this long non-coding RNA (209 nucleotides) under Malus domestica (apple). Its description in RNAcentral is "long non-coding RNA (MDOM_LNC021230)". Lineage: Eukaryota; Viridiplantae; Streptophyta; Magnoliopsida; Rosales; Rosaceae. The record is from RNAcentral.